UUCAGGGGUAAACCUGAGAAACCCGAAAGGUCGAAAGGGGAAAUUCAUUCGCGUCUCGACCGUCGGAGCGGAACGUUCGCGUGACGGACGCGGCGUGCGCAAGUACGUCGAGUCCGCGCCUUUCGUUUCGCGAAUCGGCGUCGAACGCGUGCACUUUUCCCCUAGUAGGACGUCGCGAUCCGUUGGGUGUCGGUCUAAGGCCCGCGGCGGAGCCCGAACGCUCGCCUCACGGCGUGUAGCGUUAGGACCCGCGGUGUCCCGGCCGGCUCGCUCGACGGUAUACAGAUGGCGCGGGGCCGCUAUCUUUCAGUUAGCGUUCGGCCCGCGGCAAGCGCGUUCGCUCGCGACGGCGAUCGGACCCGGUGCCGGUCCUGUCCACGGACGACUGUUGGCCGCGGUGUUUUCUCGAACAGACCUCGUCUCUCUCGAAACGCCGAUCUGCGACGCUAUAGCUUUGGGUACUUUCAGGACCCACGGACCAAGGAGUCUAGCAUGUGCGCGAGUCAUUGGGACAUAACUAAACCUAAAGGCGCAAUGAAAGUGAAGGUUCGCCUCGCGCGAGCCGAGGGAGGAUGGGCGGUACGCGCGUCUCGCGCGCGCGUCCGCCCCGCACUCCCGGGGCGUCUCGUUCUCAUCGCGAGAAGAGGCGCACCAAGAGC
RNAcentral lists this ribosomal RNA (659 nucleotides) under Phytoecia sibirica. Its description in RNAcentral is "eukaryotic LSU rRNA". Lineage: Eukaryota; Metazoa; Arthropoda; Insecta; Coleoptera; Cerambycidae. The record is from RNAcentral.